GCUGGUUGUAUAUUAUUUGCUAAAAGCGUUUGCCCUCAGGAUAAACCUUGCAAAGUUGCUUUAAAAAAGUUAUUUGCUUGAUAAUUAAGUCCUGAAACCCAUCGUUUAAUGAUUAUUCUGGACCCAUAAGGCAGAGAACGUCCAUGACGUUUUUUCCCUAAGUUUAAUUACCGUAUGCUAAUUUCCUUGCCUACUACGUGAUUAAUUAAAAUCAUAUUUUCAUAAUCAUUUGGCACUAGUAUUGUUUUAGAAUUAUCAUGAUCCCCUAAAUAGUGUCUGUAAAUAAAGUCGGCUCUCAUGGAAAGAGAAUGGGAAGGCGAUGCUGAAGACCUUUAUGUGUUUGUAUCUAUGCGAUUGGUAACAUAACUGGCUUAUUUACAUUAAAUACGCCACAAGGUUAGAGCGCAGAUCAACGUCACUUUAUCGCUGAUUACUUCUCUUAAACGCCGGAGCUGUGACUGAUGCUGCACGUCCCGCUGUCCACCAAGAUUCACCGGGGAGUUUUUUUUUUUUUUAAAAAGAGACAGACUUUAAAUAGUUUCAGGAGCAGGUCUUAUUUUUACAGUUCCUGACCAUCAGUCUCUACCCUACAUCUUUAAGAAAUUCCCUCAAUCAAGAGCGAGGUCCGUUGCUUUAAGGAUAACCUGGUAAGAAACAUCCAAUUCAUGGCAUAUUAAAAUGCUAUCUGUUUAUGGGUCUGUAUGGGUAAACCAAACUGCUA
This 721-nucleotide long non-coding RNA is filed under the name Phascolarctos cinereus (koala). RNAcentral's name for it is "lncRNA (ENSPCIG00000017560.2)". Lineage: Eukaryota; Metazoa; Chordata; Mammalia; Diprotodontia; Phascolarctidae. The record is from RNAcentral.